RNAcentral lists this ribosomal RNA (474 nucleotides) under uncultured bacterium. Its description in RNAcentral is "bacterial SSU rRNA". It matches the Rfam family "Bacterial small subunit ribosomal RNA", at positions 30 to 521 of the family's 1533-position model. The record is from RNAcentral.
AUUGAACGCUGGCGGCAGGCCUAACACAUGCAAGUCGAGCGGAUGAAGGUAGCUUGCUACCUGAUUCAGCGGCGGACGGGUGAGUAAUGCCUAGGAAUCUGCCUGGUAGUGGGGGACAACGUUUCGAAAGGAACGCUAAUACCGCAUACGUCCUACGGGAGAAAGUGGGGGAUCUUCGGACCUCACGCUAUCAGAUGAGCCUAGGUACGAUUAGCUAGUUGGUGAGGUAAAGGCUCACCAAGGCGACGAUCGUUAACUGGUCUGAGAGGAUGAUCAGUCACACUGGAACUGAGACACGGCCCAGACUCCUACGGGAGGCAGCAGUGGGGAAUAUUGGACAAUGGGGGGAAACCCUGAUCCAGCAAUGCCGCGUGAGUGAUGAAGGCCUUAGGGUCGUAAAGCUCUUUUACCAGGGAUGAUAAUGACAGUACCUGGAGAAUAAGCUCCGGCUAACUCCGUGCCAGCAGCCGCGGU